RNAcentral lists this small RNA (125 nucleotides) under Marmota monax (woodchuck). Lineage: Eukaryota; Metazoa; Chordata; Mammalia; Rodentia; Sciuridae. The record is from RNAcentral.
GCCAGGCGCAGUGGCCCACACCUGUAAUCCCAGUGGCUCUGGAGGCUGAGACAGGAGGAUCAAAAGUUCAAAGCCAGCCUCAGCAAUGGCGAGGAGCUAAACAACUUAGUGAGACCCUGUCUCUA